GUGGGGAGUGCUAUAAUGCAGUCGAGCGGACAGAAGGGAGCUUGCUCCCGGAUGUUAGCGGCGGACGGGUGAGUAACACGUGGGUAACCUGCCUGUAAGACUGGGAUAACUCCGGGAAACCGGAGCUAAUACCGGAUAGUUCCUUGAACCGCAUGGUUCAAGGAUGAAAGACGGUUUCGGCUGUCACUUACAGAUGGACCCGCGGCGCAUUAGCUAGUUGGUGGGGUAAUGGCUCACCAAGGCGACGAUGCGUAGCCGACCUGAGAGGGUGAUCGGCCACACUGGGACUGAGACACGGCCCAGACUCCUACGGGAGGCAGCAGUAGGGAAUCUUCCGCAAUGGACGAAAGUCUGACGGAGCAACGCCGCGUGAGUGAUGAAGGUUUUCGGAUCGUAAAGCUCUGUUGUUAGGGAAGAACAAGUGCGAGAGUAACUGCUCGCACCUUGACGGUACCUAACCAGAAAGCCACGGCUAACUACGUGCCAGCAGCCGCGGUAAUACGUAGGUGGCAAGCGUUGUCCGGAAUUAUUGGGCGUAAAGGGCUCGCAGGCGGUUUCUUAAGUCUGAUGUGAAAGCCCCCGGCU
This 585-nucleotide ribosomal RNA is filed under the name Bacillus sp. (in: firmicutes). RNAcentral's name for it is "bacterial SSU rRNA". It matches the Rfam family "Bacterial small subunit ribosomal RNA", at positions 39 to 609 of the family's 1533-position model. Lineage: Bacteria; Bacillati; Bacillota; Bacilli; Caryophanales; Bacillaceae. The record is from RNAcentral.